GAGGAUAUAGUUCAGUGAUAGAGUGCAUGCUUAGCAUGCAUAAGGUCCUGGGUUCAAUUCCCAGUACCUCCA
Molecule: transfer RNA, 72 nt
Filed under: Vicugna pacos (alpaca)
Lineage: Eukaryota; Metazoa; Chordata; Mammalia; Artiodactyla; Camelidae
Also listed under: 1 other name
Rfam family: tRNA
About the family: Transfer RNA (tRNA) molecules are approximately 80 nucleotides in length. Their secondary structure includes four short double-helical elements and three loops (D, anti-codon, and T loops).
Source: Rfam by way of RNAcentral